AAGUCGUAACAAGGUUUCCGUAGGUGAACCUGCGGAAGGAUCAUUAAUGAUUUUUCUAAUUAACUACCACAAGUGUUUUUCUUUUUCAACACAUUUCAUGUUCCAUUCUUUGAAAAGAGAAAUGAUUGAAAUGUGUUGAAAAAGAAAGGAGAAACAAAAAACACACUAUAUAUACUUUUUUGACAACAAUUAUUUUGAAAAAACUAUUUCAAAAAUGGAAAACACUUUUAACAAUGGAUCUCUCGGUUCUU
This 251-nucleotide unclassified non-coding RNA is filed under the name fungal sp. Its description in RNAcentral is "partial internal transcribed spacer region". The stretch from base 1 to 46 matches the Rfam family "Eukaryotic small subunit ribosomal RNA", at positions 1786 to 1831 of the family's 1831-position model. The record is from RNAcentral. Lineage: Eukaryota; Fungi.